This is a long non-coding RNA of Onychostoma macrolepis, 3702 nucleotides long. RefSeq lists it as uncharacterized. Lineage: Eukaryota; Metazoa; Chordata; Actinopteri; Cypriniformes; Cyprinidae. The transcript is spliced from 5 exons. The record is from RefSeq and is a predicted model, not a curated record.
ACACACGACUAUAUCAGCAAACAUACAGUUCACUAGCUCAGCUCUAAAUGAACUUCUGCCGAUUAUACAAAUUAAUACUUUUAUUCAGCAAGGAUGCUUUAAAUUGAUCAAAAGAUGGCGUUACAAAGUAUUUAUAUUUCAACAAAUACAGCUGCACAUCACAGAAAUAAAUUACAGUUUAACAGAUUCACAUAGAAAACAGCUGCUUUACAUUCUAAUAAUAUUUCACAAUUUUUACUGUAUUUUUGAUCAAACAAAUGCAGCUUUGGUGAGCAGAAGAGACUUCUUUAAAAACAUUAAAAAUCUUACAGUUCACAAACUUCUGACUGGUAGUGUAUAUAACUACACUGUAAAAAGUGAUGUUGACUUAACUUUAAAAAAUUGAGGAAACCAAUUAACCAAAAUAAAUGGUCAUUUAAAAAAAUAAGUGAAUUGUCAACUUCACUUAACUUUCUUUUUUUUUAUUAUUAUUAUUUACUUAAUAAUUUUAAGGCAACAGGUUUCCUACAUUUUUCAAUUUUUCAAGUCAACUUAUCACUUUAUACAGUGAUGAUAAACUUAAAAUUUUAGUAUAUUAAACCAUAAUGCUUUAUCAAUGAGUUCAAGAAGCUUUGAAUAUCUUUUAAUGUGAAGGUUCAGUCGUAUAAGUAUUGUUUUGUCCUGUUGUGUAACGCUUGCUCAAGGUUUAUUUUGUGCUUAAUUCUCCCACAGUUUCCAAACACUGCACUAAAUGCGGACAUUAUUGUGUUUGGACUCCAUUCCUGCGAGUGACGCAUGUUCCUAAUCUGCUGUGAUCACGUGUUUGCCUGAGGAUCCCUGCCUGGAUAAAGCUGAGUGUCUCUCUCUCUUUCUCUCUCGAUGGCAUCCAGACGUUCAUUUUUGGCUCCAGAGUUUGAAAGAAAACAACUGCUGUUGCUAGGCAACCCAACAUGCCGUGAGUCACCCGGGCGCGCCCUCCACACAAACACACAGCCGCUGCGUCACUUCCUGCUCCCGCGCGUGAGAGAGAGAGAGAGCGGAUGCAGGAGUCUCUCGGAAUGAAACAAUGAGUCACAGUGAGUCCGGUUCAUACAGUGUUACACUUCCAUCCGCCGCCUGUGAUGUGCACAAAUCAUUGGUGUUUGAAGGAGAUGUUUUUAUUAAUUUAUUUCGUCUCCGUGCUCGUGCGUGAGUCUUACUUCAGUGUAUCUGGCGUGAGUGACCGCACACCGGGUCACUCUGAGAGAACAGCGCUGCCGCCCUCCAGCGGCCGGACCCGGUACUGCACACACUCCGCCGGUCACGUGUUUAAACCAGUCUCCUCUGAUCACCAAGCCUGCUUUUAUUUGAUACAAAACACUGCAAAAAGAUUACAUAUUGAAAUAUUUUUACUAUUUAAAAUAACUGCUUUCUAUUUGAAUAUAUUUUAAAAUGUCAUUUAUUCCUGUGAUUUUCAGCAUCAUUACUGCAGUCUUCAGAGUCACAUGAUCUUCAGAAAUCAUAAUAAUAUGCUGAUUUACAGCUCGAGAAACAUUUCUGAUUAUUAUUAUGUUGAAAACAGCGGAGUAUUUUAUUUUAUUUUUUUAGCUUUCUUUGAUGAAUAGAAAGCAUUUAUCUGAAAUAAAACUAUUUUGUAACAUUAUAAAUGUCUUUAUCAUCACUCUUGAUCAAUUUAAAGCACCCUUGCUAAAUAAAAGUAUUAAUUUCUAUAAUUUAUAAUAGAUUUAUUCUAUAAUCUAUAUAUAUAUAUAUAAAAAAAAAAGAUACUGACUCCAAGGUUUUGAAUGGUGUAGUGUAUAAUGUUACAAAAGCGUAUUAUUUCAGAUAAAUGCUGAUCUUUCUAUUCAUCAAAGAGCUUCGGUCACAGGAAUAAAUUACUCUUGAACAGAUAUUCACAUAGAAAACAAAAAUAAACAACUGUUGUUGUUUUUAUCUGCCAAUUUGAUUUGCUGUCUUGUCAACAAAAAGAGCAAAUAAAAUGGUUAUUGUUACAAUUAAUAAAAUAAAUCAAAUUGAAUUGUUAGCAUUGUUGUGAUGUUGAAGUCUGUGUGUGACUCCAGCGCAUCACCACAGAUAUUAAACGAUUAUAUCAACUCAAUUAAAAGCUUCUCAAGGCGUUUAUGAAGAACAAUGAAAGUGUAAAAGAUAAUAUAUAUAUAUAAGUAAUAUAUAACCUACUUUAAAAGCAUGUAUUUUAACCCACAUAGCCUAUGACAGCCCACAAUAUUACAUAAAUAAUUUAAAAAAUAUAUGCCACAUAACAUUCAUGAGUCUUGAAAUACCAUUAUGAUUAGCUUCCCAAGGAGCAAAAAGCCACGUGAUAUGAAUUAGGCUAUAUUCUCAAGAGCUGAAUAAACUCUGGAAAUUAGGCAUUCAAACCAACCGCAGCCAAUCAGCAAACAAAAAGCAUUCACGUUAAUUUUUCUAAACAAGAAAAAGCAUACUGUGAUAGUUCAGAAAAAACGUUGGGUUAUUUACUGUACCCAAUAUCUGGGUUAAACAUGUUGGGUCGCUUUGUUGGGUUAUUACUAUGUUUAUUGGGUUAUUUCAACAACAACGCAACCAGUUGGGUUAACAUUUAAAUCCCAACGGUCGAUUGGUGCAGCUGCGACAGAUGAUACAGUGGUAAAUUAAUAUGUGUGCGUAAUGUUUUUCGUUACAAAGUGUCUUCAUGCCCUGACACAAUAAUAUUUCUGUUUUUCCUACGAGUUUGUUUACAUCUCCUCUGUUGACUGAAACUUUAAUUAGUUUUUUCUGCACUCUUGACUAACGACACGAGCGCUUGUAGCAGAUCGAUUUCAAACGUAUAAAAAACGUUUUCCUUACUUUUUCUGUUCGUCUCGACAAUUUUGGGGAUUUUUUUUUUUUUACAUAACUUACAUUUCCGAUAUUAGGCAGAAGCGCUCACCUUGAAGACCAGCGGAGCCUCUUUCGUGGUGUCCACUCUGAGUGAAGGUAUGGCGCCAUUUUAUUCAAAUGUAAUGUCCUUUCUCCAGGAAACUACAGUGUAAAGUUAAAACACUACGAAACACGCAGAAAUUAAGCAUUUUAUUCUCUCUAAGUUGCUGGUUACCAGAGCAAUCAUGUAGUGAUUAUUUUCACCAACAGAGGGCGCUGCGAGCUACACUGAUUACACGCUUCUUCAGCCACGAAGAACUGAACAUGGAAGAGAGUGGGGCAUUGUUAUCAUCAAUUAUCAAAAGAUACCGUUAUCGGUUUCAAGAUUACUCUGGACUAAGGUAUAUUAUACCCACAUGUCAGUGAUAGAUAGACUUUGAGCUCUAAAGGGCAUGGAGAGAUGAAGAGAGCCUUGGUUGGAUCUUCUGGAUGUUUCUUCUGUUGGUCUUGGAGAUUGCAUUAAAGUUGCAGUAAAACCCUGCCCGAUAUCCUCCUUCAUUGCCAUACAAAGUGGGUUGGAACAAAUUUCAUUCUGUAUUUGGAGGAGGAGGAGCAACCAAGGCAAUUCCCUCAUAAUCAAGCCUUCAUUAUUGUGGGAGAAAUGGCACUGAAGCAAGGCCGUCUUUUUUACAAGCAGUUGAUACAUGCUUUAAAUUAUUUUACAUUUUGAACAUUGAGUAUCCCAAACCUGUUGCAGCUGUAAUUGCAUUGUCUGUACUAGCUUUGUUCUGUUUGUUUGUUUGUGAAUUUAUAUUUAUCUUGUAAACUGAAACAAUUGCAUAUAACCUAAUGUGAUAAGGAAAUAAUUAAUAACACAAUUUCAAC